Long non-coding RNA from Raphanus sativus (radish), 1613 nucleotides. RefSeq lists it as uncharacterized. NCBI's taxonomy places the organism in Eukaryota, Viridiplantae, Streptophyta, Magnoliopsida, Brassicales, Brassicaceae. The transcript has 2 exons. The record is from RefSeq and is a predicted model, not a curated record.
AAGGGGAAAUUUCAUGUUUACACUUUCUCUCAUACCACAAUUCACUUAUACCACUAGUACAAGGACAUUUUUAUAAUUACACUUUUCAUUAGUGAUCAAAUUACAUUACUACCCAUCAUCUGUUUCUCUUCUCUCGCGUGAUUCCUCUUCACCUCCUCCGUCGAGUCCAGCAUUUCUCUCACAAACUAUCGGCGACUACGACUCCGGCGACGAGAUCGACGACUCCGGCGCGGAAUCUGAAAUAGAAAAGGAGGAAGGCACGUCGCUUAAACAACCCCCCGCAAGAGGCGUCGCUUAGAGGCAGGUGUCGAAACAAGACUGGGUGAAGGAGAGAUGGUGUUUCGGCCUUCUCGGCUUCUCUCUCUCUCGAAUCCUUCUCGGCCUUCUCAGGCUUGUCUCCCUCGGUUGAUCUCGUCGGUGAUCUAGCUCUCAUCGGCGUUCUCCCUGUCUUGAUUCCUCUCGUCAGGCUCACCCUUUGGCCUUCUCUCUCAAUUCCUCUCAUCGGUGGCUCUGCUCUUCUCCGCGUUGUUUCAAAUCAAAAGGUAAAGCGGUUGUUUUGUUGUUUAAGCAUGUCUCAGAUUAUGAUUGAUGUUUGUUGUAUUAGGAGUAGUUCUUAUCGUUAUGUUUCAUGUUCGCUUCUCUUAAUAUAAACGUGCUUGUUCUCUGCUUAUGUUUAAUUAAAAUUCUGCUUAUGUUCAUUGUUCUUCUUCUCUUGUGUCAUUGUCUCAAAAAUGUUCUUGUGUUAAAAAUGUUAUGCUCAUUGUAAUUGAUGUUGAAGUGGUCUCUGUUUUGAUAUAUCUGAUGCUGGUUUUGUAGUUUGGUAGGGUCAUUUAUAUCUGAUGCUGGUUUUGUAGUUUGGCUACGUUGUUCUUGCACGACCUGAGUUACUGCCUUGAAACUGCUAUGGUUAGUUCUAAGAACACCAGUGAAUGAUCUUAUGUUUCAUGUUUCCUAUGAAACUCGGUACAGAGGUGCUGUGAAAUAGUAUUUGAAUUUUAUCAUUAGGGAAAUAUGGAUUUGAAGUCUCAUCAGUUGAUUUUAACUUCAUUGAUGUGUUUUUUAUCCAGAUGAUUUUAAACUUUUAUCAUUUGAUCUUUAUUCUGUCUUGUAGUAUUGAGCAUGGAUGCUAUCGACAUGUCUUGUUUAUUUAGUAUAUAUAUCUGAUGAUGUUGUUCUUUGAGUUUUAGUUUUUCAAGUAUUGGUAUUUAAGGGAAGCUGCUAGGAUGGGUGUGAAACAGGCUCUAAGGAGCAUCGAUGUGUUCCCAAGGCAUCUGUUGUAUUAGCCUUGUACUACCAUUCAAGUACAUCUAUUGUCUAACCUGAUAUUUUAACUAACGUUUCUGUUAUACUUUUUUUCUCUCUCAUUCAGACAAUCUUGAAGAUCCCGGGUUUCACUGAUAACGUUGUCACUCAUAUUCUAUCUGGACUAGGAGCCGGAUUCUUCGCUGUCUGCAUUGGUUCCCCUGCUGACGUGGUUAAGUCAAGAAUGAUGGGAGAUCACAUUGUUAAAUUAUUUAUAAUGGUGUACAUAUAAUUUAUAAAUAUUUAUAAAGUCACUAUAAAUGAUUCUUAGUCUUUAUAAGGCUUUAUAUAUUACAAAUGUUAUUGUAAAA